GCCAGUGUGGUGUAGUGGUUUGAACGCUAGACUAUGACUGGAGACCAGGGUUCAAAUCCCAGCUCAACCA
Phrynosoma platyrhinos (Desert horned lizard) is the source of this 70-nucleotide non-coding RNA. Lineage: Eukaryota; Metazoa; Chordata; Lepidosauria; Squamata; Phrynosomatidae. The record is from the annotation of a GenBank genome assembly.